This 72-nucleotide transfer RNA is filed under the name Mnemiopsis leidyi (sea walnut). Its description in RNAcentral is "tRNA-Cys for anticodon GCA". It matches the Rfam family "tRNA". Rfam says of the family: Transfer RNA (tRNA) molecules are approximately 80 nucleotides in length. Their secondary structure includes four short double-helical elements and three loops (D, anti-codon, and T loops). Further hydrogen bonds mediate the characteristic L-shaped molecular structure. tRNAs have two regions of fundamental functional importance: the anti-codon, which is responsible for specific mRNA codon recognition, and the 3' end, to which the tRNAs corresponding amino acid is attached (by aminoacyl-tRNA synthetases). tRNAs cope with the degeneracy of the genetic code in two manners: having more than one tRNA (with a specific anti-codon) for a particular amino acid; and 'wobble' base-pairing, i.e. permitting non-standard base-pairing at the 3rd anti-codon position. Lineage: Eukaryota; Metazoa; Ctenophora; Tentaculata; Lobata; Bolinopsidae. The record is from RNAcentral. RNAcentral also lists the same sequence under 1 other name.
GGGUGUAUAGCUCAGUGGUAGAGCAAUCGACUGCAGAUCGAUAGGUCCAUGGUUCAAAUCCGUGUGCGCCCU